Molecule: ribosomal RNA, 478 nt
Filed under: uncultured Rhodoferax sp.
Lineage: Bacteria; Pseudomonadati; Pseudomonadota; Betaproteobacteria; Burkholderiales; Comamonadaceae
Description: bacterial SSU rRNA
Rfam family: Bacterial small subunit ribosomal RNA
Source: RNAcentral
AAAGGAAUUGACGGGACCCGCACAAGCGGUGGAUGAUGUGGUUUAAUUCGAUGCAACGCGAAAACCUUACCCACCUUUGACAUGUACGGAACCCUUUAGAGAUAGAGGGGUGCUCGAAAGAGAGCCGUAACACAGGUGCUGCAUGGCUGUCGUCAGCUCGUGUCGUGAGAUGUUGGGUUAAGUCCCGCAACGAGCGCAACCCUUGUCAUUAGUUGCUACAUUCAGUUGGGCACUCUAAUGAGACUGCCGGUGACAAGCCGGAGGAAGGUGGGGAUGAUGUCAAGUCCUCAUGGCCCUUAUAGGUGGGGCUACACACGUCAUACAAUGGCUGGUACAAAGGGUUGCCAACCCGCGAGGGGGAGCCAAUCCCAUAAAGCCAGUCGUAGUCCGGAUCGUAGUCUGCAACUCGACUACGUGAAGUCGGAAUCGCUAGUAAUCGUGGAUCAGAAUGUCCACGGUCGAAUACGUUCCGGGCCUU